Molecule: microRNA precursor, 83 nt
Filed under: Erinaceus europaeus (western European hedgehog)
Lineage: Eukaryota; Metazoa; Chordata; Mammalia; Eulipotyphla; Erinaceidae
Description: mir-425 microRNA precursor family
Rfam family: mir-425 microRNA precursor family
Source: Rfam by way of RNAcentral
GAGAGGCGGUGGAAUGACACGAUCACUCCCGCUGAGCGGCCCGCACACGCCGUCGGGAAUGUCGUGUCCGCCCGGCGCUCUUU